CAAAAACAAAGUUAUGAUCUCAACAGUGGCAUGCCUCUACAGUUCAUUACAUACAAUAUGAAUUUCUAUUAGUAAUUUGAAAAACAAAAUUCAGGAAAUACAAUUUCUUUUAGUUAUCACCAGCAAAAACAGCAGAUAUACUGAUAUGUGGCAUCUGAAAUUUAUAAAUUUACCAGCAACCCAGUAGUAAUUCACAAAUAAAACUCACAUCUUGCCAUGUUUUCUUCUGGCGAGAACUGCAACAUGAUAUCCUCAAAGCAGGGAGAUUCGGCCUGUGGUUGACCACAGUAACUGUAAGCUUCAAAUGGCGGCUUUCCAACAAGGCAUUCAUAACACAACACGCCCAGGCUCCAUAAGUCAACCUUUUCAUCAUGCAGCUGACCCUGGACCAUUUCUGGUGGAAGGAUUGCCUUUGGCCUUGAAGAUGGAGGGGACGGGUUCUUCGAGAAUGCUGUUAACCACCUACAAAACUAGACAGCAUCAGAAGCAAAAGGGUUUCAAUCUACAAGUACAAAGUUGAGUUUCGUAUAGGAACACACCACAGUAUAAGACAAAGUUAAUAAUUCAUGCCAGAUGCACUAUAAGGUAUUUAACUUAAUGUUAUGCGGUGUAAAAAUGAUGUCAAUUUGCUUUCUUGAUAUUAAAAAAAAUUCUAUUAUGAAUUAGUUACUUAAAAACAAGUCUAUGCAAUUUUUGUAUUAUAAAUUUAAAUCAUACUGUAAACGGCCUUUUCGCACAAGAUGUUAACAGUUAAAUAUAGAGAAAACUGCAAAGUA
Molecule: non-coding RNA, 776 nt
Organism: Zootermopsis nevadensis
Lineage: Eukaryota; Metazoa; Arthropoda; Insecta; Blattodea; Termopsidae
Source: RefSeq, a predicted model, not a curated record